AGCAGCCGCGGUAAUUCCAGCUCCAAUAGCGUAUAUUAAAGUUGUUGCAGUUAAAAAGCUCGUAGUUGAAUUUCGGGAUCAAUACGUCGGUCGUGCUUCGGUACGUACUGGCGUAAUUGAUUUCUCCCUUCUGACGAACCAUGAUGUCAUUAACUUGGUGUCAUGGGAAAUCAGGACUGUUACUUUGAAAAAAUUAGAGUGUUUAAAGCAGGCUCACGCUUGAAUACAUUAGCAUGGAAUAAUGAAAUAGGACGUUCGAUCCUAUUUUGUUGGUUUUUAGGAUCAACGUAAUGAUUAAUAGGGAUAGUUGGGGGCAUUAGUAUUCAAUUGUCAGAGGUGAAAUUCUUGGAUUUAUUGAAGACUAACUACUGCGAAAGCAUUUGCCAAGGAUGUUUUCAUUAAUCAAGAACGAAAGUUAGGGGAUCGAAGACGAUCAGAUACCGUCGUAGUCUUAACCAUAAACUAUGCCGACUAGGGAUCGGAUGAUGUAAUUUUUAAUGACUCAUUCGGCGCCUUAAC
Molecule: ribosomal RNA, 519 nt
Filed under: uncultured Glomus
Lineage: Eukaryota; Fungi; Glomeromycota; Glomeromycetes; Glomerales; Glomeraceae
Description: SSU rRNA
Rfam family: Eukaryotic small subunit ribosomal RNA
Source: RNAcentral